AAGACAAAUAUUGGAGGCACCACGGCAGAGCUGUAAUCAGGUUAAAGGACUUUGUGCUCUUACUAGCAGAGUGGAACUGAAAUUGCAUUUGCUCUUCUCCCUGACCAGCUGGUCUUACUUCUGGAGUUGCUUUUGGAGGAGAAGACGCUGUGUCCUAGAAUACUGCAGUGCUUAGAGAAAACAUACCAGCUCCGGGAGCAAGAUGCUGAGGUUCGUCAUCGGUGGUGUGAACUUGUCAUUAAACACAAAUACGAGCCUGGGUAUGGAGAUGUUGAGAGUCCUCAGAGGAGGAUCAGGUAAGUUACAUUUAACUAACCAUUUUGAAAGCAAUCAACAUUUUAACACCCUUAGGCUGAAAAUAAAGACAUAUUUUAAAAUAUUUUCU
This 385-nucleotide long non-coding RNA is filed under the name Malurus cyaneus samueli. RNAcentral describes it as "lncRNA (ENSMCSG00000011864.1)". The record is from RNAcentral. Lineage: Eukaryota; Metazoa; Chordata; Aves; Passeriformes; Maluridae.